This 496-nucleotide ribosomal RNA is filed under the name uncultured bacterium. Its description in RNAcentral is "bacterial SSU rRNA". It matches the Rfam family "Bacterial small subunit ribosomal RNA", at positions 899 to 1397 of the family's 1533-position model. The record is from RNAcentral.
ACUCAAAGGAAUAGACGGGGGCCCGCACAAGCGGAGGAGCAUGUGGCUCAAUUCGAUGCUACGCGAAGAACCUUACCCAGGCUUGACAUGCAGCUGCACGUCCCGUGAAAGCGGGAUUCCUUCGAGGGUGCUGCACAGGUGCUGCAUGGCUGUCGUCAGUUCGUGCCGUGAGGUGUCCGGUUAAGUCCGGUAACGAACGCAACCCUUGCGCCCAGUUGCCAUCGCUUAAAGGCGGGGACUCUGGGGGGACUGCCCGUUUACGCGGGAGGAAGGUGGGGACGACGUCAAGUCAGUAUGGCCCUUACGCCUGGGGCCGCACACGUGCUACAAUGGCCGGUACAGAGGGACGCCAAGCCGCGAGGCGGAGCGACCCCCAAAACCGGCCCCAGUUCGGAUUGGGGUCUGCAACCCGACCCCAUGAAGUCGGAUUCGCUAGUAACGGCGCAUCAGCUACGGCGCCGUGAAUACGUUCCCGGGCCUUGCACACACCGCCCGU